AGUGAACGCUGGCGGUAGGCCUAACACAUGCAAGUCGAACGGCAGCACAGUAAGAGCUUGCUCUUACGGGUGGCGAGUGGCGGACGGGUGAGGAAUACAUCGGAAUCUACUUUUUCGUGGGGGAUAACGUAGGGAAACUUACGCUAAUACCGCAUACGACCUACGGGUGAAAGCAGGGGAUCUUCGGACCUUGCGCGAUUGAAUGAGCCGAUGUCGGAUUAGCUAGUUGGCGGGGUAAAGGCCCACCAAGGCGACGAUCCGUAGCUGGUCUGAGAGGAUGAUCAGCCACCCUGGACCUGAGAACCGUUCCAGCCUCUUAGGGGAGGCAGCGGUGGGGAAUUUUGGACAAUGGGCGCAACCCUGACCAGCCAUACCGCGUGGGUGAAGAAGGCCUUCGGGUUGUAAAGCCCUUUUGUUGGGAAAGAAAAGCAGCAGGUUAAUACCCCGCUGUUCUGACGGUACCCAAAGAAUAAGCACCGGCUAACUUCGUG
Molecule: ribosomal RNA, 491 nt
Filed under: uncultured bacterium
Lineage: Bacteria
Description: partial 16S ribosomal RNA
Rfam family: Bacterial small subunit ribosomal RNA
Source: RNAcentral